RNAcentral lists this long non-coding RNA (3851 nucleotides) under Ficedula albicollis (Collared flycatcher). RNAcentral's name for it is "lncRNA (ENSFALG00000026014.1)". Lineage: Eukaryota; Metazoa; Chordata; Aves; Passeriformes; Muscicapidae. The record is from RNAcentral.
AUGCUGCCUCAUUUUUCCACAGAUUCUGCCUCAUUUUCCCACAGAUAUUGCCCCACUAUUCCACAGAUUUUGCCCCAUUCUCCACAAAUUCUGCCCCAUUUUCCACUGAUUCUGCCCCAUUUUUCCACAGAAUUUUCCCCAUUUUCCCACAGAUUUUGCCUCAUUUUUCCACAAAUUCUGCCCCAUUUUCCCACAGAUUCUGCCUCAUUUUUCCACAGAUUUUGCCCCAUUUUCCCACAGAUUUUGCAUCAUUUUUCCACAGAUUCUGCCCCAUUUUCCCACAGAUUUUGCCUCAUUUUUCCACAGAUUUUGCCUCAUUUUUCCCACAGAUUUUGCCCCAUUUUCCACAGAUUUGGCCCCAUUUUCUCACAAAUUCUGCCCCAUUUCCCACGGAUUCUGCCCCAUUUUCCCCCAGUUUUUGCCGUGCCCAUCUCCCCAUUUUUCCACAGAUUUUGCCCCAUUUUCCACAGAUUCUGCUCCAUUUUUCCACAGAAUUUUCCCCAUUUUCCCACAGAUUUUGCCUCAUUUUUCCACAAAUUCUGCCCCAUUUUCCCACAGAUUCUGCCUCAUUUUUCCACAGAUUUUUGCCCCAUUUUCCCACAGAUUUUGCCUCAUUUUUCCACAGAUUCUGCCUCGUUUUUCCCACAGAUUUUGCCCCAUUUUCCACAGAUUUGGCCCCAUUUUCUCACAAAUUCUGCCCCAUUUCCCACGGAUUCUGCCCCAUUUUCCCCCAGUUUUUGCCGUGCCCAUCCCCUCGUUCCCCCAUUUCCCUGGCAGGGCUGGAUCCCUCUCCAUGUGCAGUAGCAGCUCCGGGUAGGAUUGCACAGGGCUGAGCUUUGGGACAAUCCCACCGAAAUCACAGCACCUGCAAGUGGUUACUUACAAUAAUAAAUAAGUGAUAGAUUAUCAAAUAAAGCCUUGGCUUGGGAUGAGGUCAUCCUUGCCCCGUGUCCUGCGUCUCCCAGGGUUUGGGAGGGCUAAAUCCCCCUUGUAUCAGGCAAUAAAAAACUUGUCAGGAUUAAAGAAUCAAUUAGGAAUUAGCCAAAGGGGCAAAGCGUAACCCAAACAUGCUGAUAAAAUCCAGUAGGUGAUUAUGGGAACGGGUUUGAUUUCAUUGGGCUUUGGAAAGGAAUAAUUGCUCAUUACAGAGCAUGGAACAACCCAGACUGGGUUUUUUUCCAGCUUUAUAGAGGCGGAAAUUCUGGUGUUCACAGACAAAUGUGGGGACACGCCAUGAUUUAGGGCUGAAGGAGAAGUUUGGGGUUCUGAAUUUGAGAAGCAUCAUUCCCUGGUUGGAAAAAAUGUUCUUGGAAGUCAACACUUCCAAGUGUUGUGUUCCAAGUGGUUGGAUGGGGCUUGGGAUGGUGGAAGGUGUCCCUUGGUGGAACAAGAUGGUUUUAAGCUCCCUCCCAACCCAAGCCAUUCUGGGAUAUUCCACGACUGGGAUGCAGCAGGGAAGUGCCACAGCUCCAGCACUGCUCUUCCAGCACAGGAAAACAGAACAAGGCUGGUUUAGCUGUAAAAACUCCUGGAAAAGCUGCUUUUCCCAGCUGAUGGUGGCAGGGAGGGGAUGGAGCACUCCCAGGAUGGUGCAGGAAGACGAGGAGUUGGAUUUCAAGGGAAAAGAGCCCAAUCCUGGCUCUGAUCCCUGUUUAUUCCCUGUCUGGCCCAGCCGCCCACGCUCCCAAAGCUUUUGUUCAUGAAGGAGAUCCAGGGAAAGAAGAUCCCCCAGGAAUGUUGGUGUCAGCCUCAUCCCAACCUCCUCCAGCACAGCUCCAUCCUCCCACAGCAGCUCCAGGCUUGGCCUUUUUGGGAUCACUUCACCCACAGGGCAGCCCUGCUGCUUCUCAGCACGGAUAAAGGAUUUUUAGGGAGCAAAAUCUUUUAAGGAAGCGGCAUCACAUUGGGGUUGGAGUUGGAUCUGCAGGAUGAGCUCCCAGGGAGAGGCAGGACUGGGAUUUGCCAUCCUGUGUGACCCCAGGUGCUGCCCUGGGGCUGGAGCAGUUAAUUGGUUCAUUAAUCCUCAUCCCCUGGGCCAAAUCCCAGAGCCAGCUGCUGCCCUGGAGUGGGGUCUGAGCAGGAAGGGGGGAUCAGCACCCCAGAUUGUGCAUCCAGGUUUGCUCCCAAAAAAGAGUGCGAAGAGGCAAACCCCUGGGAAAUAAAAUAACUAGAAUUGUCAGUGACUUCUCUUUGAUAAUUAGUUAUUAAUAAUUAAUAGAUUGGAAUCCUGAGACACUGAGGCAGAUAUUGUUUGGCAACAAAAGCCCAGUCCCUCAAGUUUGGUGGAAUUUUUUCAUCUCUUUGCCCCUGCAGUAGAACACAGAAGCCAAGAACCAGCACCAGGCAGGCCAGAAUUUGAGUCAGAAAAUAAAAGACUGAGUCCAGGAAGAAUUUAAUUUUUCUGGGAAUGACCCAGCACACAACCCUGACCUUGAUGCCACCCUGCCCACACCUGGCUGUCACAGCUGAGCUUUUCCAGCGUGUCCCUGGUGCCCAUCCCUCUGUGUCCAGAAAGAAUUUAAUUUUUCUGGGAAUGACCCAGCACACAACCCUGGCCUUGAUGCCACCCUGCCCACACCUGGCUGUCACAGCUGAGCUUUUCCAGCGUGUCCCUGGUGCCCAUCCUCAUCUCUCCCUGCCUUUCAGAGGGAUUUCUUGUGAGGCUAAGGAUCUCCAGUGCUCUGGGCACCAACUUUGUUGGGUUAUCUUCUGAAAUGAGCAAAGCAGCUGACAGUUGCUUGAGCACCUCAGUCUCAAAAGGCCACAGGUCAUGCUAAGUUUUGGUAUAAAGUCCCAGAUAGAAGCAGAAGCUGCUCCUGUCAGGGUCCUGGGAAGAUGAUGGUGUGGCAGCUCCUGCCUUCUUCUUGGGUGUUGAUGAUGAUGAGAGAGCAAAGCAAAAGCAAAUGGCAAAUGGCAGUAGCAAAAAGCAAAAAGCACCAGCUCUCCCCAGUGCAUGCUCUUAUGUAGAAUCUUCCCACCAAGCUAAGACAGAAAUUCAGACACCACUCCUCAACCUAUUAGUGUUGUUGGAUACUGCUGGGAACCGGGGAAAAAGCAGCCUUGAAGCCUUGGGUUUCUCAGGCUGCUCAAGGACAAGGAAUUAUAUCGAUGAUUAAACACCUGCAGGGUGUGAGAGACGUGGUGUUUUGCAGAAAGCAUGUUUUCAAAGAGGUGUUGCCUUCUUUGACCAGUAACUCUUUUCUAUUUUGUUUUUCAAGUACUACCCUAUAUAUGUACAGUGUUUCUUUAAAUAAAGCUCUUCCCUCCUUUGCUUCUCCAUUGCAUGAGGAACUAUGUUGCAUUAUCCUUUUCGCUGCUCUCCUAUAGCCUAAAAUGCAACAUACUAGAAUUUUAAUUUCUUAACACGGUCAGUUAUGUUUAAACUACGCAUAGGACCUAUCUUGUUUUAUCUGAAAAAUGUAAGCAAUAUUCUCACUACAGCUCUAUUAUUUUUCAGUACUGUCUAAAACUGCAUUCCUGGAGUCUCCACUGAAAACAUUGAUAUGUUUUUCAAUCUUCACUAGAACUCACACUGCUUCUCUGGCAUUUGAACCUUUCACUUACUAAAGGCAUUAGAGCUCAUACUAAAAUUUACUGACUGGCUCAUUUAUCCUAAACCUUAAACCUACACCUCUACUUUAACAUACUUCAAUCCAUCCAAAGGCUUUCAUUCAAUCCCUGCACUCUGAUUUCUCCCUGAAGAAUUCAGAGACCCCUAACUCACUGGCUGCAACAAUCUCAGUGCCUUUGUGGCCAUCCAGCUGCUGCAGCUGUGGCUGGAGCUGCCACCUGCCCGCCGGGGGGGGGGGGGGGGGGGGGGGGGGGGGGGGGGGGGGGGGGGGGCUGGAGCU